CAACUAAUUAGUGCAUUUCAGAUUGUCUGGGCUGACAGCUUCCUUUGCCCCAUGAACAGCAAUGCUGGCAAGACUUUCCACAUUCAAAACACUGUCCUGACAAGCCGAGCAAGUGAUUCAACAAGGGAGGAGGUAAAGAAAGGGAGCUAUAACCGGAUACUGCUGCAAACCAAGCUGGCCCCACACUCACAACUAAAACAAGACACGUGCUUCAUUCGCCUUGCAAAAAGUUGCAGCUCAAGAGUUCCACCAGAAAGGCACCAGACCAGCUGGGGAGUCAGACGCACCUGUCCCGAGUUCCAGCUUUAAAGAGCUCUUGCCUUGUGCCAGCAGGAAACACUCUGUAACCCAUUUCUGUCUGCAAAGCAGAGCCAGCCUUUGAGAACUCCCAAAAAACCAGCCUGCCCAAAGUGCCAAGGGGCCAAUGGCAGCCUUCCAAAGACAAGACGCCAAUACCGCUUGCAUUCCCUGGUGGUUGUGAAACAUUGCCUGCUUCAACAGGGCCGACUGUGAAUCUGUGCAAGAAGCAGAGAGCGAGAGUGUAUUCUGAAGUUGACAGAGCUUCCGACAUCCUGAGCAAGAGUUGGCAGGAGUCAGACGGGGGAAGAAAGAAGGAAAGGAUGUUGCUGUCAUGUUCUAAGUGAAAUCUGAUUGGAUAUUGACAGAUAUUUAGAGGCCACAGACCUGUAUGCCACACCAAAGAACAAGGAAGAUGGAAAGUGUCACAAAAGUCAGAAACGCAGAUGAAAUGCAUCUGGCCACUGAGGGUGGUCCUUUAUCCAAGCAGUGCCCACUCAGAGGUCUCUGAUACACAGACUGAUAAGCAGGACAGGUAUCAGAUCUUAGCCACCCAAAUACAGCCCUCCAGCACAGAAAGAGCCGCUCAUGCUGGAGGGGGAAUAGCACAGUCUGGGCCUCAGGAGCUCAGAAUGAGGGUACAUUUUGAGCCAAUUUAUCCCCUCAGCCAGUCCCCAAAAUACUUUUCAUUGUCCCUUGUUUCCUAAGAGACACAGUACCUGCCAUCUCCACUCUGUAGAUGGUGAACCUCAGGCCAGAAUUCAGUCAUGUUUCAGGAAGUCUUUGGGAAACCUAAGAAUAAAAUUCAUGUGUUCUCCAAGCUCACCCCUACCAAAGAUUUGCAUUAUCAAGAAUAUCAGAAGUACCUGGGUGUGAUGGCACACGCCUGCAAUCCCAGCACUCUGGGAGGUUAAAGCAGGAGGAGUACAAGUUUCAGCACAGCCUACACAACUCACCAUUUAACAAGACUCUAUCUCAAAAAUUUUUUAAAACGGGGAAGGGGCCAGGGGAUGUAGCUCAAUGUGAAAGCCCUAGGUUCAAUCCCCAGUGCUGAAAACAAAAGUCAGAAUACUACCGUAGCCAUGGAAAACAGCAUGCAAGGAAGUUCUGUUACCAGGUUCUGGGGACUUCUCCUAAAGAUUCUUUCUAUGUUCUUCUUGUCCUGAACAAAGAAUCAGACAAAACAAGUGCAAAAGGUAGCAAGGUUUUUCAUUUAUUAAGGGCAGGAAAAGAAACAUGCUCUGCAGAGUUAGUGUGGGCCAAUUAAAAGUAAGGAAAAAGUACACUUUACAGUGUAAGAGCAGACCACUGUGAAAGAGAGAGCACAGUGGCCACAGGAAAACGGCAGCUGUCUUUUGUAUCCCGCACUGCUCAGCCUGAAGUCAGAUCUACAUGGACGUAUCACAAACCUGUUUGAGUUGUCAAGAGAAGAAUUGAAGAUAGCACUCUCUGACUGAUCCCCUGUGUAGGGUUUUGAGAACUCUUUUUCUGCAUGUUUCCUAAAUCUCUGUUAUUGACAGAUCACAGCCGGUUGCUCAGCCAGUUUGCCACACCCUCAUCUCCUGCCUCAGCUCCUCAAAAAACUAGAUAUAAAAUUGCUGUCUGACCCAGUAAUUGCACUCUGGUUAUUUAUCAGUCAUCUUCUCGUUACCAUAACAAAACACCCAAGAAAGGCUAUUAGUGAAGUAAAAAGAGAUUUAUUUGCACUCAUGGUUCUGGAGGCUCAAGUCCAAAGUCAGGUAGCCUCAACAGUUUGGGCCUCUGGUGAGGGUGGCACAUCAUCACAUCACGUGGAGAGUGUAUGUUGGAGUGAGUAGUUCUGUGCUCCCGGAAGCACACAGGAAAGGAGAGUGAGGCUCCACAGUCCACUUCAGAGGCAUGUCCCCAGGCACCCAAGGACCCCCACUCGGCCCCCCCAAUCCUACCUCCCUGGGGAUUGAACCUUUACAUGUGGACCUUCGAGGGGACACUUUCCAUAUUUGAACCGUAACCGGGUAUACAGAGGUUAUCAAAAUAUAUUGUGAGGGGCAGGGGAAAGGAAAGAAGGGAAAGGAAAAAUGAUGAGAAAUGGAAAAAAAUGGAAAUAAAGUCUUUGUAAAUAGGGAAGGGUGGAGGGCGUGAAGGGAGGGCUAGGAAUGGGGAAAAAGUAAGAACCAAGAUGCAUCAUGUAAAGGUACAAUUCCCAAUGAGUAAUGUAAUUGUGUUGUAUACCUACAAUGUAC
Molecule: long non-coding RNA, 2519 nt
Organism: Heterocephalus glaber (naked mole-rat)
Lineage: Eukaryota; Metazoa; Chordata; Mammalia; Rodentia; Bathyergidae
Source: Ensembl